GACUCUUAGCGGUGAAUCACUGGGGUCCCGCAUGGAUGAAGAAUUCAGCUAGCUUUGAGAAUUAAUGUGAAUUUCAGGACACAUUGAUCGUUGACACUUCCAAUGCACUUGUGGCCCCAGGUUCCUCCCGGGGUACACCUGUCUGAGCGUCA
Ribosomal RNA from Vulpes vulpes (red fox), 152 nucleotides. It matches the Rfam family "5.8S ribosomal RNA". From Rfam's summary of the family: 5.8S ribosomal RNA (5.8S rRNA) is a component of the large subunit of the eukaryotic ribosome. It is transcribed by RNA polymerase I as part of the 45S precursor that also contains 18S and 28S rRNA. Functionally, it is thought that 5.8S rRNA may be involved in ribosome translocation. The record is from Ensembl. Lineage: Eukaryota; Metazoa; Chordata; Mammalia; Carnivora; Canidae.